This 423-nucleotide long non-coding RNA is filed under the name Brassica rapa (field mustard). RNAcentral describes it as "long non-coding RNA (BRAP_LNC002589)". The record is from RNAcentral. Lineage: Eukaryota; Viridiplantae; Streptophyta; Magnoliopsida; Brassicales; Brassicaceae.
ACAAAUGCACUUGUCAUUAACAGGAGUGGGCACGAACCAGAUAUCCAUGUUUUUAGAGGAUUCGUGAUCCAAUCCGUUUCAUCUGGAUAAUCAGUUAUCUGAUCCGAUUUGAUCCGUACCAUCUGAAUAUUCAGGGUCUCAGAUAUUCGGAAAUAUUAGAUUUUCAACCGAAUUUCCGAUUCGAUCUGUAAAAUAAAAAACUAUAAAAAAAAAUAAAAAAUUACAAAAUAAUAAUAUUUUAUUACAAAAAUUUAUAUUUUAGUGUUUAAUAUACAAAAAAAAAACUAAACACAUAUAUGUCAAAGUGCUUUUUUUUAAGUUAAGAUUUCAAAAUCUAACUCUAAAAAUACCAACAAUACUAUAACAUAUGUUAUCAAACCCUAAACUAAAGACUAUCAUGACUCAAUCUACAUUCACUCAUAC